RNAcentral lists this ribosomal RNA (450 nucleotides) under uncultured bacterium. RNAcentral's name for it is "bacterial SSU rRNA". It matches the Rfam family "Bacterial small subunit ribosomal RNA", at positions 354 to 796 of the family's 1533-position model. The record is from RNAcentral.
GUGGGGAAUAUUGGACAAUGGGCGAAAGCCUGAUCCAGCCAUGCCGCGUGUGUGAAGAAGGUCUUCGGAUUGUAAAGCACUUUAAGUUGGGAGGAAGGGCAGUAAGCUAAUACCUUGCUGUUUUGACGUUACCGACAGAAUAAGCACCGGCUAACUUCGUGCCAGCAGCCGCGGUAAUACGAAGGGUGCAAGCGUUAAUCGGAAUUACUGGGCGUAAAGCGCGCGUAGGUGGUUUUGUAAGUUGAAGGUGAAAUCCCCGGGCUCAACCUGGGAACUGCCUCCAAAGAUGCAUGACUAGAGUACGGUAGAGGGUAGUGGAAUUUCCUGUGUAGCGGUGAAAUGCGUAGAUAUAGGAAGGAACACCAGUGGCGAAGGCGACUACCUGGACUGAUACUGACACUGAGGUGCGAAAGCGUGGGGAGCAAACAGGAUUAGAUACCCGGGUAGUCC